CCUACGGGGGGCAGCAGUGGGGAAUAUUGCACAAUGGGCGCAAGCCUGAUGCAGCCAUGCCGCGUGUGUGAAGAAGGCCUUCGGGUUGUAAAGCACUUUCAGCGGGGAGGAAGGCGGUGAGGUUAAUAACCUCAUCGAUUGACGUUACCCGCAGAAGAAGCACCGGCUAACUCCGUGCCAGCAGCCGCGGUAAUACGGAGGGUGCAAGCGUUAAUCGGAAUUACUGGGCGUAAAGCGCACGCAGGCGGUCUGUCAAGUCGGAUGUGAAAUCCCCGGGCUCAACCUGGGAACUGCAUUCGAAACUGGCAGGCUAGAGUCUUGUAGAGGGGGGUAGAAUUCCAGGUGUAGCGGUGAAAUGCGUAGAGAUCUGGAGGAAUACCGGUGGCGAAGGCGGCCCCCUGGACAAAGACUGACGCCCAGGUGCGAAAGCGUGGGGAGCAAACAGGAUUAGAUACCCCUGUAGUC
This 465-nucleotide ribosomal RNA is filed under the name uncultured Klebsiella sp. Its description in RNAcentral is "bacterial SSU rRNA". It matches the Rfam family "Bacterial small subunit ribosomal RNA", at positions 338 to 795 of the family's 1533-position model. The record is from RNAcentral. Lineage: Bacteria; Pseudomonadati; Pseudomonadota; Gammaproteobacteria; Enterobacterales; Enterobacteriaceae.